UACGUAGGGACGAGCGUUGUCCGGAAUUACUGGGCGUAAAGGGCGCGCAGGCUGUAGAUCAAGUCAGCUGUGAAAUGUCUGGGCUUAACCCGGGCAUGCGGUUGAAACUGAUGUACUGGAGUGCUGUAGAGGCAAGUGGAAUUCCCAGUGUAGCGGUGAAAUGCGUAGAUAUUGGGAAGAACACCGGUGGCGAAGGCGACUUGCUGGGCAGCAACUGACGCUGAGGCGCGAAAGCCAGGGGAGGCAAACGGGAUUAGA
RNAcentral lists this ribosomal RNA (258 nucleotides) under uncultured prokaryote. RNAcentral's name for it is "partial 16S ribosomal RNA". It matches the Rfam family "Bacterial small subunit ribosomal RNA", at positions 524 to 782 of the family's 1533-position model. The record is from RNAcentral.